Molecule: ribosomal RNA, 231 nt
Filed under: uncultured bacterium
Lineage: Bacteria
Description: partial 16S ribosomal RNA
Rfam family: Bacterial small subunit ribosomal RNA
Source: RNAcentral
CGGGUGAGUAACGCGUGGGUAACCUGCCUCACACUGGGGGACAACAGUUAGAGAUGACUGCUAAUACCGCAUAAGCGCACAGGACCGCAUGGUCCGGUGUGAAAAACUCCGGUGGUGUGAGAUGGACCCGCGUUGGAUUAGCCAGUUGGCAGGGUAACGGCCUACCAAAGCGACGAUCCAUAGCCGGCCUGAGAGGGUGGACGGCCACAUUGGGACUGAGACACGGCCCAG